Molecule: ribosomal RNA, 557 nt
Filed under: uncultured Arthrobacter sp.
Lineage: Bacteria; Bacillati; Actinomycetota; Actinomycetes; Micrococcales; Micrococcaceae
Description: bacterial SSU rRNA
Rfam family: Bacterial small subunit ribosomal RNA
Source: RNAcentral
ACGGGUGAGUAACACGUGAGUAACCUGCCCUUGACUCUGGGAUAAGCCUGGGAAACUGGGUCUAAUACCGGAUAUGACCUUCCAUCGCAUGGUGGUUGGUGGAAAGCUUUUGUGGUUUUGGAUGGACUCGCGGCCUAUCAGCUUGUUGGUGGGGUAAUGGCCUACCAAGGCGACGACGGGUAGCCGGCCUGAGAGGGUGACCGGCCACACUGGGACUGAGACACGGCCCAGACUCCUACGGGAGGCAGCAGUGGGGAAUAUUGCACAAUGGGCGGAAGCCUGAUGCAGCGACGCCGCGUGAGGGAUGACGGCCUUCGGGUUGUAAACCUCUUUCAGUAGGGAAGAAGCGAAAGUGACGGUACCUGCAGAAGAAGCGCCGGCUAACUACGUGCCAGCAGCCGCGGUAAUACGUAGGGCGCAAGCGUUAUCCGGAAUUAUUGGGCGUAAAGAGCUCGUAGGCGGUUUGUCGCGUCUGCCGUGAAAGUCCGGGGCUCAACUCCGGAUCUGCGUGGGUACGGGCAGACUAGAGUGAUGUAAGGGGAGACUGGAAUUCCUGG